AGAGUUUGAUCCUGGCUCAGGAUGAACGCUGGCGGCGUGCCUAACACAUGCAAGUCGAGCGUGAUUGUUAUGAGUGGAGACUUCGGUCAAAGCGAKUAACAUGAAAGCGGCGGACGGGUGAGUAACGCGUGGGCAACCUGCCCCAUACACGAGGAUAGCCACUGGAAACGGUGAUUAAUACUCGAUAAGACCACACUGCCACAUGGUAGAGCGGCCAAAGAUUUAUCGGUAUGGGAUGGGCCCGCGUCUGAUUAGCUAGUUGGUGAGGUAACGGCUCACCAAGGCGACGAUCAGUAACCGACCUGAGAGGGCGGACGGUCWCACUGGAACUGAGACACGGUCCAGACUCCUACGGGAGGCAGCAGUGGGGAAUAUUGCACAAUGGGCGCAAGCCUGAUGCAGCAACGCCGCGUGAGUGAAGAAGGCCUUCGGGUCGUAAAGCUCUGUCCUGUGGGACGAAAAAAAUGACGGUACCACAGGAGGARGCCCCGGCUAACUACGUGCCAGCAGCCGCGGUAAUACGUAGGGGGCAAGCGUUAUCCGGAAUCACUGGGCGUAAAGGGUGCGUAGGUGGUUCUUCAAGUCAGAAGUGAAAGGCAGUGGCUUAACCACUGUAAGCYUUUGAAACUGAGGAACUUGAGUGCAGGAGAGGUAAGUGGAAUUCCUAGUGUAGCGGUGAAAUGCGUAGAUAUUAGGAGGAACACCAGUGGCGAAGGCGACUUACUGGACUGUUACUGACACUGAGGCACGAAAGCGUGGGGAGCAAACAGGAUUAGAUACCCUGGUAGUCC
Molecule: ribosomal RNA, 791 nt
Filed under: uncultured bacterium
Lineage: Bacteria
Description: bacterial SSU rRNA
Rfam family: Bacterial small subunit ribosomal RNA
Source: RNAcentral